RNAcentral lists this transfer RNA (73 nucleotides) under Climaconeis cf. scalaris. RNAcentral's name for it is "tRNA-Asn". It matches the Rfam family "tRNA". Rfam says of the family: Transfer RNA (tRNA) molecules are approximately 80 nucleotides in length. Their secondary structure includes four short double-helical elements and three loops (D, anti-codon, and T loops). Further hydrogen bonds mediate the characteristic L-shaped molecular structure. tRNAs have two regions of fundamental functional importance: the anti-codon, which is responsible for specific mRNA codon recognition, and the 3' end, to which the tRNAs corresponding amino acid is attached (by aminoacyl-tRNA synthetases). tRNAs cope with the degeneracy of the genetic code in two manners: having more than one tRNA (with a specific anti-codon) for a particular amino acid; and 'wobble' base-pairing, i.e. permitting non-standard base-pairing at the 3rd anti-codon position. The record is from RNAcentral. Lineage: Eukaryota; Bacillariophyta; Bacillariophyceae; Naviculales; Amphipleuraceae.
UCCUCAGUAGCUCAGUGGUAGAAGCAAUCGGCUGUUAACCGAGUAGUCGUAGGUUCAAGUCCUACCUGGGGAG